This 292-nucleotide ribosomal RNA is filed under the name Escherichia coli. RNAcentral describes it as "partial 16S ribosomal RNA". It matches the Rfam family "Bacterial small subunit ribosomal RNA", at positions 505 to 796 of the family's 1533-position model. Lineage: Bacteria; Pseudomonadati; Pseudomonadota; Gammaproteobacteria; Enterobacterales; Enterobacteriaceae. The record is from RNAcentral.
GUGCCAGCAGCCGCGGUAAUACAGAGGGUGCAAGCGUUAAUCGGAAUUACUGGGCGUAAAGCGCGCGUAGGUGGUUCGUUAAGUUGGAUGUGAAAUCCCCGGGCUCAACCUGGGAACUGCAUUCAAAACUGACUGACUAGAGUAUGGUAGAGGGUGGUGGAAUUUCCUGUGUAGCGGUGAAAUGCGUAGAUAUAGGAAGGAACACCAGUGGCGAAGGCGACCACCUGGACUGAUACUGACACUGAGGUGCGAAAGCGUGGGGAGCAAACAGGAUUAGAAACCCCGGUAGUCC